AACGCACAUUGCGCCCCUUGGUAUUCCGAGGGGCAUGCCUGUUCGAGCGUCAUUGCACCCCUCAAGCCUGGCUUGGUGUUGGGCGUCGCGGUGUGUCCGCGCGCCUUAAAGUGUCCGGCGAGCGGUUCGUCCCCUGGCGUUGUGAUAUUCUUAUAUUCGCUGCGGAGGGCGGACGGCGGCGGCCGUUAAAGUCUCAAAGGUUGACCUCGGAUCAGGUAGGGAUACCCGCUGAACUUAA
This 238-nucleotide unclassified non-coding RNA is filed under the name uncultured Capnodiales. Its description in RNAcentral is "sequence contains 5.8S rRNA gene, ITS2, 28S rRNA gene". The stretch from base 1 to 52 matches the Rfam family "5.8S ribosomal RNA", at positions 103 to 154 of the family's 154-position model. Lineage: Eukaryota; Fungi; Ascomycota; Dothideomycetes; Capnodiales. The record is from RNAcentral.